This 1313-nucleotide unclassified non-coding RNA is filed under the name Hevea brasiliensis (rubber tree). Lineage: Eukaryota; Viridiplantae; Streptophyta; Magnoliopsida; Malpighiales; Euphorbiaceae. The record is from RNAcentral.
UGAGAAAUUCGAUGGUAAUUGUCAAGUGUAAAUGAUAACUCUUAGCAUUUUGAUUUAUGUUCUGUGCUCAUCUUUGAGUCACUGUACAACCUCCUACCAGUUAUUUUCUAUUCAUUCAUGCUACCUCGAGAACAAUCUUCAUAAACUCAUAGACGAAGUAACUUAUUGCUGCAGAGGGAAGUACCUGCAGUAAGCUGGGAAUGAGUCCGGAAUACAGAGCCGGAAUUCCACCUUGCUCAACAAUCUUGACACAGGUUGCCAGCGCACUCAUCUUAGUAGACCGAACUUGCAGUUGAAGUUGUCUCCUCACAACUUCAAAUGGGUAAGUAGUAGCUUCUGCACAAGCACCAGCAACUGCCCCAUACAGUAAUGUCCUGAUUGGUCCCAACUCUAGCUGGUCCAAAGCAUUCAAUUCCUGCCCAAGUUGGCUCUCUAUUCUUUUCCUGCCUUCAGGUGAAUGCAGAUAGGCAGACCAAUAUAUCAUAGACACCAUAGAAAACUGCCCCUGAAGGUGCCAUGCUUAUGAUAGAAGGUACUAAGCCCUUGUAAAGGGAAAAGAAACCUUCAGUUCGGAUCAUGUGGUGAAAAGCACCAAUCACUCCACCCAAAGCUUCCCCACCAGGUGCAGCAAUCUUGGUCCUGAUAGUGUCAAGUGGUAUACAAAGAAUGGUAGCAGUAAUGCCAGCUGCAGCACCAGCAAUGAACCUCUCAAAAUUUGUGGUUUCCUCAUUCCCAGAUAAUCUGAGCAAUUGCUUCCUAUAUGUAUCAUAUGCACAAAAAUUGACUGCUUUAAAUGGAGCUGUACGGAGAACGUUGACAAGGUUCCCCUUCCAAAAGCCUUUCAAGCCUUGUGUAGUUGCAAUUGUCUUAAUGAGGUCAAAUAUGUGCUUUUGCUCACCACGAACCAUAUAUUCCAGCUUUAAUCUCUCCAGUGGAGCAACAAAAGUUCUUGAAACCAUAGCUGCAAUAGCUCCAGCCCACAAAUGCUUGGUAGUGUUCAUAGCACCGUGUCCUCGUACGCUAACAUUCCGUUUCCUUCUUCCCUCCAAAACAACUUCACCUCCGUCGAGCACCUUUACCUCCUCAAUGACGCUCUUUGCAUCUCCGUUUUGCACCAAACAGACCUUCGGUUCGUGCAGAAGUCCAGGUCCAUCGUUUCUCAAGCUCACGGACAAAAAGAAACCACUAAACGCCACUUGACUGCUCCUUUCCCUCCUAAAUCCCCCUAAAACCGUGUGUUUAGAACAAGAAAUCAAACUCGAAAUACUAAUUGAACUACUCCUAUAAGAAAUGAGAUUAACAAAAGAAGAAGA